Molecule: long non-coding RNA, 1217 nt
Organism: Brassica napus (rape)
Lineage: Eukaryota; Viridiplantae; Streptophyta; Magnoliopsida; Brassicales; Brassicaceae
Exons: 2
Source: RefSeq, a predicted model, not a curated record
AUUUUAUUUUAAAAUAUAAUUUAUAUUUAUCUGUUAAAAAAUAUUUUAAAUUUUUUUACCGCACAUGGUGCAGGAAGACACCUAGUAUAACAUUAAACCACUAAACAACAUAUCUUAGAUUUAACCAUCAUUCCCUAUACAUUUUUAAAUAUUAAACCGUAUACAAAAAUUUUAUAAAAUAAAAUAUCAAUAUAUGAAAAAAUGAUACACUGUUAAAAAAAAAAAUAUAUAUAUAUAUACUUUUUUUAAAAAAUUGUACACCAUAAACUAUAUUUGUUUAAACGAGUAAAAGCCAACAGUUCAUAUUUAUUUUCCUCUCUAUCUCACUUCCUUUUACGUUACUCUUUUCUUUUUCAGUAGCUAUCAUCGUGAUUAUUUUCUAUUGGUUAAUACAAAAAAGUGAGGAUAGCCUCUUUUCUAAUCUUAACCGUUGAUGAAUAUAAUCUAAGGGACAUAAACAUUUUGCUUUCUUUUAAUGGUUUUCUCGCUCGAUCUCUACUCCUCUCCUAUUCUACCGCCGUAAACCUGGAAAAAAAAACAAAGCUCCAUCUUCUCUUCUCCUUUCGAUUGUGGAAUAAACCCUAUGCAACCCAGAAAAAUUCUCCAUCUUCUAUGAACCGUGUCGACUCCACUUCUCACCUUCGUUCACGUCUCGAGCCCAAGAGAAUCUCCAAUUGUAACCGAAUCUGACAUCGACUAAGCCAUCGAGAAGGUGGAAUCUUGAGGAAGGUGGAAGAGACAGAUGAAACUUGAUGAAGGUGGAGAAGUCACGGAGCAUGAGGAAGGCGGAGAAGGUUCGGAAUGCGCGACCAGAGCUUGAGAAAGGCGGCGGGUGCGAAGGUUCAGAAUGCUACCGAAGAGACACACGGAGGUUGAGGAAGUUUAGGUUUAGGCAGAGCUAGGGAUAUUAAAGUGGGUAAACCCACCCCAUUUAGAAUCCAAACCCUUUUAGACUAGGGAUGUUAAAAUGGGUAAACCCACCCCUAUUUAGACCCACCCCAUUUAGAACCAUCCCAUUUAGAAUUCAAACCCGUUUAGACCCAUUUAGUUUUAAAGUCUAUUAAGGCUCUCCAUUUUAACCCACAAAUUUUACUUUGACCCAUUUAACUCUUUUUUUUAAUUUGUCUUAUACCUUUCUUGUUUUAAUUAUACUGUAAAACGAUUUUUAUAGUACAAAAUUUUAUAUUCUUAAAUAAUACUGUAAUUUUUAAUGGUCA